RNAcentral lists this long non-coding RNA (928 nucleotides) under Physcomitrium patens. Its description in RNAcentral is "long non-coding RNA (PPAT_LNC002296)". The record is from RNAcentral. Lineage: Eukaryota; Viridiplantae; Streptophyta; Bryopsida; Funariales; Funariaceae.
GAGGUAAAGGACAGUAGUUUAGCUCACGUACAGAUCACAAAUCACUGAGUCCAAUGAAGUGGGAUCCCAUCUGUAGUACAUCCUUCGUUCAAGUAAUCAGUUUUGCUGUGAGUGCCUCUGAGAUUUCGACGUGAAAAUUUUAGCACAGAAGCAACACGCUCACUACCAUCAGACAUUACUUAGUGCCACGAAUUCAGCACGAUUUCAGCACUUCAGAAAACUAUUUUACUCCUCACGCUCUGGAACAGCUCUCGAUGUACAGACAACCGUGAUGAACUAGACUACGUACGCAAAGUUGUGAAGCUUUGACGGAGAUUUAACUGCAAGCAUAUCAGAACUCAACCUCAAGGAAAACAUUGAAAGCGGAGAUCAAAACAGGCGGAGAUCCUCCUGUAUACGUUGAGAGGUAACUCUUCGGUGGCACAACAUUCUUUGCAAAAUCCACCUGAGAAAAUUGGAAACAGUGUAUUUGUUGUACUCCUUGGAGAUUUGCUUUCACCAUCCAAAGCUUGACAGCUAGUCAGUGGUCUCGUGUACGGUCGAAAGCAUAGAUGUUGGGGUUGCACUGCAGAUGGAUAUCAAUUUCUUCAGUCUCCUUCACCCUAAACAUUCUUCUAGGCAUAGUGUGCCGUUCAACGGUUUUACUCAUUCCUACUCAGGGGAUAGGUUGCAACAAGUUAAAAAUUUCCACAGUGAUGGAGUGAAGAGAAGGAAAUGCAUAACCUGCGUAAGAGUGCGAUCUUUCAGUCGAAGCUCUUGAGUCAAAAGGGAUCGAGUUCCAACACGAUACCGCAGCUCUCACAGAAAUUCACCCAUUUCUCGUGCAAUCGGAAUGAUUACAAUUGGAUCUGUGGAAAUCGAUCAACCUGGAACAAUUGGUCUCAGUCAAUUCAUUACCAAUGGCAUACAUAAAUUAUUUUGACGGCUU